This 392-nucleotide ribosomal RNA is filed under the name Adenopterus (Archenopterus) sp. NC sp2. RNAcentral's name for it is "partial 12S ribosomal RNA". Lineage: Eukaryota; Metazoa; Arthropoda; Insecta; Orthoptera; Gryllidae. The record is from RNAcentral.
UAUUAUUUUAUAUGUAUUAUAUAAUCUUGAGUAGUACUAGUUAAGAUCUAAAAACUUAAAGAAUUUGGCGGUGCUUUAGUCUUUUCAGAGGAAUCUGUCCUGUAAUUGAUAAUACACGUGUUAUUUUAUUUAUUUAAUUUGUUUGUAUACCGCCGUCAUAAGAAUAUUUUAAUAAGGUUAAAAAUUUUCUUUAAUUUAGAUUAAAAUUUAUGUCAGGUCAAGGUGCAGCUUAUAAUUAAGGUGGUGAUGGAUUACAAUAAAUUUAUUUAUAUGGAUAUUGAAUAUGAAGUGUUUAAUUGAAAGUGGAUUUGAUUGUAAAUUUAUUAUUAUUAAUAUUUUGAUUUUGGCUCUAGAGUGUGUACAUAUCGCCCGUCGCUCUCGUUUAUAAUGAG